UGCAGCACAAAUAAUUGAAAUCUCUUGCUUUCCUCCAACUAACUAAUUGGCUCUUUGGAUUAGAACAGUUCUUUAUUUGUUCAGCCAUUUCACCAGUACAAAGGGCAUGGAUCUUGUGCAAUGAUUCAGUUACAAGAACGGGUUUGAGUAAGGAAUAUGACUUAAAAUCUCAGAAACAUAAAAGAAGGAAGGAAGCAAGCAAACUGGCAAGAAAGCAGAGACACCAAAUCCUAUAUGGAAGACAUCUGUUCUUACGUAAAGGGGAACAGGAGCCACCCCAGCGGCAGCACGGAGGGCACAUCCUGGGGCGCAGCGGCGAGGGCUCAGCACAGACACCACAGUUUCCUGAGACUUUCAGCACAUUUGCAAACAGUUCCUGGCUGUUGCCUUCCAUCAUGUGGCACUUCCAUCUUGAUAAAGGAAAGCUGUUUGCUCAGCCUGUUGCCUCCUGGACGUGACCAGUGCCCAAGAGCCCAACGCUGUCCCGGCCUCUGGGAGGAGUGGAGUUAAUUGAGCUCUUCCUGAGUCCUGUGCGUUAACCAGGAGAACCAGCCUGGUUACAGGAAGAUGAGAGGAGAUUACAGUCCACAUGUCCAGCUCACUCCGACCAUUAAGUCCCACCAGUUUGUCCACAG
Molecule: long non-coding RNA, 635 nt
Organism: Cuculus canorus (common cuckoo)
Lineage: Eukaryota; Metazoa; Chordata; Aves; Cuculiformes; Cuculidae
Exons: 3
Source: RefSeq, a predicted model, not a curated record